RNAcentral lists this small nucleolar RNA (106 nucleotides) under Medicago truncatula (barrel medic). Its description in RNAcentral is "Plant small nucleolar RNA R71". It matches the Rfam family "Plant small nucleolar RNA R71". Rfam says of the family: R71 is a member of the C/D box family of snoRNAs containing the C (UGAUGA) and D (CUGA) box motifs. Multiple nearly identical copies of this snoRNA have been identified in Arabidopsis, and it is thought to function as a 2'-O-ribose methylation guide for 18S ribosomal RNA. The record is from Rfam by way of RNAcentral. Lineage: Eukaryota; Viridiplantae; Streptophyta; Magnoliopsida; Fabales; Fabaceae.
AACCCAUGAUGCGGGCAAGCUCUCAAAAGAUCCUUGUAUCUCUCCCACGCUUCAAAGAGUGAUUCUCCGUCUUUCUGCCUAAAGCAUGUAAUUAGGUUCCUCAAUU